This 253-nucleotide ribosomal RNA is filed under the name uncultured bacterium. Its description in RNAcentral is "partial 16S ribosomal RNA". It matches the Rfam family "Bacterial small subunit ribosomal RNA", at positions 524 to 776 of the family's 1533-position model. The record is from RNAcentral.
UACAGGGGGGGCAAGCGUUGUUCGGAAUUACUGGGCGUAAAGGGCUCGUAGGCGGCCAACUAAGUCCGACGUGAAAUCCCCAAGCUUAACUUGGGAACUGCGUCGGAUACUGGAUGGCUUGAAUUCGGGAGAGGGAUGCAGAAUUCCAGGUGUAGCGGUGAAAUGCGUAGAUAUCUGGAGGAAUACCGGUGGCGAAGGCGGCAUCCUGGACCGACAUUGACGCUGAGGAGCGAAAGUGUGGGGAGCGAACAGG